GAUGAACGCUGGCGGCGUGCCUAAUACAUGCAAGUCGAGCGAACGGACGAGAAUCUUGCUUCUCUGAUGUUAGCGGCGGACGGGUGAGUACCACGUGGCUAACCUAUCUAUAAGACUGGGAUAACUUCGGGAAACCUGAGCUCAUACCGGAUGAUAUUUUGAACCGCAUGGUUCAUCAGUGAACGACGGUCUUGCUGUCACUUAUAGAUGUAUCCGCGCUGCAUUAGCUAGUUGGUAAGGUAACGGCUUACCAAGGCAACAAUGCAUAGCCGACCUGAGAGGGUGAUCGGACACACUGGAACUGAGACAAGGUCCAGACUCCUACGGGAGGCAGCAGUAGGGAAACUUCCGCAAUGGGCGAAAGCCUGACGGAGCAAAGCCGCGUGAGUGAUGAAGGUCUUCGGAUCGUAAAACUCUGUUAUUAGGGAAGAACAGAUGUGUAAGUAACUGUGCACAUCUUGACGGUACCUAAUCAGAAAGCCACGGCUAACUACGUG
Molecule: ribosomal RNA, 497 nt
Filed under: uncultured bacterium
Lineage: Bacteria
Description: partial 16S ribosomal RNA
Rfam family: Bacterial small subunit ribosomal RNA
Source: RNAcentral